GGUGGCCCGGCCGGUGGUGGCGGCGGUGACGCUCAGGGCGGCGCCGAGCAUCCACAGCGUGGAUCGUCGUCGCAUGCCGUCGCC
Molecule: transfer RNA, 84 nt
Filed under: Actinoplanes campanulatus
Lineage: Bacteria; Bacillati; Actinomycetota; Actinomycetes; Micromonosporales; Micromonosporaceae
Description: tRNA-Leu
Source: RNAcentral